RNAcentral lists this transfer RNA (73 nucleotides) under Myotis brandtii (Brandt's bat). It matches the Rfam family "tRNA". Rfam says of the family: Transfer RNA (tRNA) molecules are approximately 80 nucleotides in length. Their secondary structure includes four short double-helical elements and three loops (D, anti-codon, and T loops). Further hydrogen bonds mediate the characteristic L-shaped molecular structure. tRNAs have two regions of fundamental functional importance: the anti-codon, which is responsible for specific mRNA codon recognition, and the 3' end, to which the tRNAs corresponding amino acid is attached (by aminoacyl-tRNA synthetases). tRNAs cope with the degeneracy of the genetic code in two manners: having more than one tRNA (with a specific anti-codon) for a particular amino acid; and 'wobble' base-pairing, i.e. permitting non-standard base-pairing at the 3rd anti-codon position. Lineage: Eukaryota; Metazoa; Chordata; Mammalia; Chiroptera; Vespertilionidae. The record is from Rfam by way of RNAcentral.
GCCAGUAUGGCUCAAUGGAUAGAGCGUCAGCCUACAAACUGAAGGGUCCCAGGUUCAAUUCCAGUUAAGGGCA